This 1479-nucleotide ribosomal RNA is filed under the name Lactiplantibacillus plantarum. RNAcentral describes it as "bacterial SSU rRNA". It matches the Rfam family "Bacterial small subunit ribosomal RNA". Lineage: Bacteria; Bacillati; Bacillota; Bacilli; Lactobacillales; Lactobacillaceae. The record is from RNAcentral.
GACGCUGGCGGCGUGCCUAAUACAUGCAAGUCGAACGAACUCUGGUAUUGAUUGGUGCUUGCAUCAUGAUUUACAUUUGAGUGAGUGGCGAACUGGUGAGUAACACGUGGGAAACCUGCCCAGAAGCGGGGGAUAACACCUGGAAACAGAUGCUAAUACCGCAUAACAACUUGGACCGCAUGGUCCGAGUUUGAAAGAUGGCUUCGGCUAUCACUUUUGGAUGGUCCCGCGGCGUAUUAGCUAGAUGGUGGGGUAACGGCUCACCAUGGCAAUGAUACGUAGCCGACCUGAGAGGGUAAUCGGCCACAUUGGGACUGAGACACGGCCCAAACUCCUACGGGAGGCAGCAGUAGGGAAUCUUCCACAAUGGACGAAAGUCUGAUGGAGCAACGCCGCGUGAGUGAAGAAGGGUUUCGGCUCGUAAAACUCUGUUGUUAAAGAAGAACAUAUCUGAGAGUAACUGUUCAGGUAUUGACGGUAUUUAACCAGAAAGCCACGGCUAACUACGUGCCAGCAGCCGCGGUAAUACGUAGGUGGCAAGCGUUGUCCGGAUUUAUUGGGCGUAAAGCGAGCGCAGGCGGUUUUUUAAGUCUGAUGUGAAAGCCUUCGGCUCAACCGAAGAAGUGCAUCGGAAACUGGGAAACUUGAGUGCAGAAGAGGACAGUGGAACUCCAUGUGUAGCGGUGAAAUGCGUAGAUAUAUGGAAGAACACCAGUGGCGAAGGCGGCUGUCUGGUCUGUAACUGACGCUGAGGCUCGAAAGUAUGGGUAGCAAACAGGAUUAGAUACCCUGGUAGUCCAUACCGUAAACGAUGAAUGCUAAGUGUUGGAGGGUUUCCGCCCUUCAGUGCUGCAGCUAACGCAUUAAGCAUUCCGCCUGGGGAGUACGGCCGCAAGGCUGAAACUCAAAGGAAUUGACGGGGGCCCGCACAAGCGGUGGAGCAUGUGGUUUAAUUCGAAGCUACGCGAAGAACCUUACCAGGUCUUGACAUACUAUGCAAAUCUAAGAGAUUAGACGUUCCCUUCGGGGACAUGGAUACAGGUGGUGCAUGGUUGUCGUCAGCUCGUGUCGUGAGAUGUUGGGUUAAGUCCCGCAACGAGCGCAACCCUUAUUAUCAGUUGCCAGCAUUAAGUUGGGCACUCUGGUGAGACUGCCGGUGACAAACCGGAGGAAGGUGGGGAUGACGUCAAAUCAUCAUGCCCCUUAUGACCUGGGCUACACACGUGCUACAAUGGAUGGUACAACGAGUUGCGAACUCGCGAGAGUAAGCUAAUCUCUUAAAGCCAUUCUCAGUUCGGAUUGUAGGCUGCAACUCGCCUACAUGAAGUCGGAAUCGCUAGUAAUCGCGGAUCAGCAUGCCGCGGUGAAUACGUUCCCGGGCCUUGUACACACCGCCCGUCACACCAUGAGAGUUUGUAACACCCAAAGUCGGUGGGGUAACCUUUUAGGAACCAGCCGCCUAAGGUGGGACAGAUGAUU